Molecule: non-coding RNA, 21 nt
Organism: Caenorhabditis elegans
Lineage: Eukaryota; Metazoa; Nematoda; Chromadorea; Rhabditida; Rhabditidae
Source: Ensembl
UUGUUUUCUUGCUAGAACACA